RNAcentral lists this long non-coding RNA (1036 nucleotides) under Homo sapiens (human). RNAcentral's name for it is "HSALNT0150767". The record is from RNAcentral. Lineage: Eukaryota; Metazoa; Chordata; Mammalia; Primates; Hominidae.
GCUGACUACUGUGCUUUGGCCACUGUGCUGGAUACUUUACCUUUGUUAUCUCUAAUUUCAUAACAAUCAUGUAUGAAAGAAGACAGGAACUGGGAAGCGGACACUCAGAGAGUAAACUGAUUUGAUUGCCUCAAAGCUACAAGAUUUCCUCCUAGGCACUUUUGUCUGAACCACGUGGCACAAAUUGGCAGAGAACAAGGAAAAGAAGAACAGAGGAAGGAGAAAAGGAGAAAAGUCAUUCUGCUGAAAACGAGCUGACUGAGUUGGCUUGGCUGUACAUAGGAGGAAGACCCUGAUCCCUGGUGCUCAACACAGAAAUGCUUCAAUGAUACCCUGAGAUUGUUUUACCUUGCAACACUCUCUGGAAAAUUGCUGCUCCAGGAAUGCGAUGAAAAGAUCUGUAAGAGAGCACAGCCCCUGUUGAUUGACUUGUCUUGAUCAAACCAGAGCUUCUGGCUGGGAUACUGGUAUCUUGAGUGAGUCACAGCAGGAGAUACGUGCUGGAGCUGAAGAGGUUGGAGAGGCAGCAGAAAAGACAUUUACAACCAAGUGACCCCACCUGGACUCACGACUUGUGACUCAACCGGUCCUGCGGUCUCCCACCCAGAGGCAGAGUCAGUGCACGAGGACUGUUUUCCACACCCCUAUGAUUGCAUUCCCAACCAAUCAGAAGCACUUAUUCCCUAUUCCCCUGCCCACCAAAUGAUCCUUGUAAAACCCAAACCUUCAAGUAUUCAGGGAGAAUGAUUUGGGUAAUAACUCCAGCCCUUGUGCUCAGUGGCCUUGCAUUAAUUUAAUUCUUUCCCUAUUGCUAUACCACUGCAAUAGGGAAAGUCUUGGUGAAUAGGUUUUGUGUGUGCAGUGGCAGGAAGAACCUGUCAGUUGAUUACAAUCCCUCCAACCUAGAGAUAACUACUUUUAAAAUUCUUGGAUUAUGUCUAAAUCAUAUCUAUAUAACUCUCUACCUACACAUCCUUGUGUAAACAUGCACAUAUACACACACCCAUAUGCUAUAUAUAUAUAUGCAUCAAGUUUU